GUCAAAUGUAGGGUUGACUACAUGGAGAAGAGGAGAACCAUUGUUCGUUCCAAAGUCCAUGCAAUCUGAAAAUUCACCAAAGUCCAGUAGCUCUGAUGGGGACCUCAGUUCAUUGAGUAGAACUUCCGGAUUGUGAGGAUACAAAGGGCAUAACUUGUGACUUCCAGCUAGCACGACAAAAGGAACAGCAUGCCUUUUAGCUGCAAGGGCCACCAUAUUCAAUCCGACUGGUGCCAUGACACCACCAUUUGCCAUGACAGCAUGAGCUCCAACUAUUACCAUAUUCACCCGGGAAAUCAUAGCAAAAACUGCAGAAUCAGUAAUAAGUGUGGUCUGUAAACCUCUUGUAACCAACUCCUUAGCAAGAAGAUGACCCUGAUAUCUUGGAGCACCCUCAGUAACAAACACCCGGAAGGACCUUUUCUUCUCCUUAGCAGCACAA
Molecule: unclassified non-coding RNA, 442 nt
Filed under: Hevea brasiliensis (rubber tree)
Lineage: Eukaryota; Viridiplantae; Streptophyta; Magnoliopsida; Malpighiales; Euphorbiaceae
Source: RNAcentral